This 338-nucleotide ribosomal RNA is filed under the name Ruminococcus flavefaciens. RNAcentral describes it as "partial 16S ribosomal RNA". The record is from RNAcentral. Lineage: Bacteria; Bacillati; Bacillota; Clostridia; Eubacteriales; Oscillospiraceae.
GGAGUCUGGGCCGUGUCUCAGUCCCAAUGUGGCCGUUCAACCUCUCAGUCCGGCUACUGAUCGUCGACUUGGUGAGCCGUUACCUCACCAACUAUCUAAUCAGACGCGAGCCCAUCUUUGAGUGAUAAAUCUUUGGUAGCCAGAUCAUGCGAUCCAACUACAUUAUGAGGUAUUACCAUCCGUUUCCAGAAGCUAUCCCUCUCUCAAAGGCAGGUUGCUCACGUGUUACUCACCCGUCCGCCACUAAGAAUAUCUAAGUAAACUCAAAUAUCCUCCGUUCGACUUGCAUGUGUUAAGCGUGCCGCCAGCGUUCGUCCUGAGCCACGGAUCAAACUACU